RNAcentral lists this ribosomal RNA (253 nucleotides) under uncultured bacterium. RNAcentral describes it as "partial 16S ribosomal RNA". It matches the Rfam family "Bacterial small subunit ribosomal RNA", at positions 524 to 776 of the family's 1533-position model. RNAcentral also lists the same sequence under 1 other name. The record is from RNAcentral.
UACGGAGGGUGCAAGCGUUAAUCGGAAUUACUGGGCGUAAAGCGCGCGUAGGCGGUUGGAUAAGUCAGCUGUGAAAGCCCCGGGCUCAACCUGGGAACUGCAUUUGAUACUGUCCGACUUGAGUAUGGUAGAGGGGGGUGGAAUUCCCGGAGUAGCGGUGAAAUGCGUAGAUAUCGGGAGGAACACCAGUGGCGAAGGCGGCCCCCUGGACCAAUACUGACGCUGAGGUGCGAAAGCGUGGGGAGCAAACAGG